This 442-nucleotide ribosomal RNA is filed under the name uncultured bacterium. RNAcentral's name for it is "partial 16S ribosomal RNA". It matches the Rfam family "Bacterial small subunit ribosomal RNA", at positions 339 to 795 of the family's 1533-position model. The record is from RNAcentral.
CUACGGGUCGCACCAGUGGGGAAUAUUGGACAAUGGACCAAAAGUCUGAUCCAGCAAUUCUGUGUGUUUGAUGAAGGCCUUCGGGUUGUAAAAAACUUUAAGUAGGGAAGAAGAAAGUGACGGUACCUACAGAAUAAGCGACGGCUAAAUACGUGCCAGCAGCCGCGGUAAUAUGUAUGUCGCAAGCGUUAUCCGGAAUUAUUGGGCAUAAAGCGCGUCUAGGCGGUUUACUAAGUCUGAUGUGAAAAUGCGGGGCUCAACUCCGUAUUGCGUUGGAAACUGGUAGACUAGAGUAUUGGAGAGGUAGGCGGAACUACAAGUGUAGAGGUGAAAUUCGUAGAUAUUUGUAGGAAUGCCAAUGACGAAGGUAGCUUACUGGACAAAUACUGACGCUGAAGCGCGAAAGCUAGGGGAGCAAACAGGAUUAGAUACCCCCGUAGUC